RNAcentral lists this ribosomal RNA (934 nucleotides) under uncultured bacterium. RNAcentral describes it as "bacterial SSU rRNA". It matches the Rfam family "Bacterial small subunit ribosomal RNA", at positions 90 to 1028 of the family's 1533-position model. The record is from RNAcentral.
GACGACCGGCGCACGGGUGCGUAACGCGUAUAGAACCUACCUUUUACUGGAGAAUAGCCCAGAGAAAUUUGGAUUAAUGCUCCAUAGUAUCAUUUUUUGGCAUCAUUAGAUGAUUAAAGAUUUAUCGGUAAAAGAUGGCUAUGCGUUCUAUUAGCUAGUUGGUAUGGUAACGGCAUACCAAGGCGACGAUAGAUAGGGGUCCUGAGAGGGAGAUCCCCCACACUGGUACUGAGACACGGACCAGACUCCUACGGGAGGCAGCAGUGAGGAAUAUUGGACAAUGGAGGCAACUCUGGUCCAGCCAUGCCGCGUGUAGGAAGACUGCCCUAUGGGUUGUAAACUACUUUUAUAGAGGAAGAAACCGCUCUACGUGUAGAGCUCUGACGGUACUCUACGAAUAAGGAUCGGCUAACUCCGUGCCAGCAGCCGCGGUAAUACGGAGGAUCCAAGCGUUAUCCGGAAUCAUUGGGUUUAAAGGGUCCGUAGGCGGGUUUGUAAGUCAGUGGUGAAAGUUUUCGGCUCAACCGGAAAAUUGCCAUUGAUACUGCAAGUCUUGAAUCGUUGUGAAGUGGUUAGAAUGUGUAGUGUAGCGGUGAAAUGCAUAGAUAUUACACAGAAUACCGAUUGCGAAGGCAGAUCACUAACAAUGUAUUGACGCUAAGGGACGAAAGCGUGGGUAGCGAACAGGAUUAGAUACCCUGGUAGUCCACGCCGUAAACGAUGGUUACUAGCUGUUCGGAUUUUUAUCUGAGUGGCUAAGCGAAAGUGAUAAGUAACCCACCUGGGGAGUACGUUCGCAAGAAUGAAACUCAAAGGAAUUGACGGGGGCCCGCACAAGCGGUGGAGCAUGUGGUUUAAUUCGAUGAUACGCGAGGAACCUUACCAGGGCUUAAAUGUAGAUUGACAGGUUUAGAGAUAGACUUUUCUUCGGACA